Non-coding RNA from Parvimonas micra ATCC 33270, 77 nucleotides. NCBI's taxonomy places the organism in Bacteria, Bacillati, Bacillota, Tissierellia, Tissierellales, Peptoniphilaceae. The record is from Rfam.
ACGCAUAAUGGUAAAACUAUAUUAAUUUCAUCAUAAUCUUCAUUAAAAAAUAAUUAAAAAGAAGAUUAUGAUAUAAU